CCUACGGGGGGCAGCAGUGAGGAAUAUUGGUCAAUGGCCGGAAGGCUGAACCAGCCAUGCCGCGUGAAGGUCAGUGCCCUAUGGGCGUUAAACUUCUUUUGUGCGGGAGCAAUAAUGGUCACGUGUGGCCAGACGAGAGUACCGUACGAAUAAGCAUCGGCUAACUCCGUGCCAGCAGCCGCGGUAAUACGGGGGAUGCAAGCGUUAUCCGGAUUUAUUGGGUUUAAAGGGUGCGUAGGCUGUGAGGUAAGUCAGCGGUGAAAUGCCCCCGCUCAACGGGGUGAAGUGCCAUUGAUACUGCCUGGCUGGAAUGCGGAUGCCGUGGGAGGAAUGUGUGGUGUAGCGGUGAAAUGCAUAGAGAUCACACAGAACACCGAUUGCGAAGGCAUCUCACGAAUCCGCGAUUGACGCUGAUGCACGAAAGCGUGGGUAUCAAACAGGAUUAGAUACCCUAGUAGUC
Molecule: ribosomal RNA, 460 nt
Filed under: uncultured bacterium
Lineage: Bacteria
Description: partial 16S ribosomal RNA
Rfam family: Bacterial small subunit ribosomal RNA
Source: RNAcentral